Molecule: non-coding RNA, 308 nt
Filed under: Slackia piriformis YIT 12062
Lineage: Bacteria; Bacillati; Actinomycetota; Coriobacteriia; Eggerthellales; Eggerthellaceae
Description: Bacterial small subunit ribosomal RNA
Rfam family: Bacterial small subunit ribosomal RNA
Source: Rfam by way of RNAcentral
CAAUGGCCGGUACAGCGGGCUGCGACGCCGCGAGGCGGAGCGAAUCCCACAAAGCCGGCCCCAGUUCGGACCGCAGGCUGCAACCCGCCUGCGCGAAGCCGGAGUUGCUAGUAAUCGCGGAUCAGCAUGCCGCGGUGAAUACGUUCCCGGGCCUUGUACACACCGCCCGUCACACCACCCGAGUCGUCUGCACCCGAAGCCGCCGGCCGAACCCGCAAGGGGCGGAGGCGUCGAAGGUGUGGAGGGUGAGGGGGGUGAAGUCGUAACAAGGUAGCCGUACCGGAAGGUGCGGCUGGAUCACCUCCUUU